This 2091-nucleotide ribosomal RNA is filed under the name Sphaerospora sp. JZ-2017. Its description in RNAcentral is "partial 18S ribosomal RNA". It matches the Rfam family "Eukaryotic small subunit ribosomal RNA". Lineage: Eukaryota; Metazoa; Cnidaria; Myxozoa; Bivalvulida; Sphaerosporidae. The record is from RNAcentral.
ACCUGGUUGAUCCUGCCAGUGCGGAUAUGCUCAUCUCAAGGACUAAGCCAUGCAUGCCAAAGUUCAAGCCUUAGAAAGGUGAGACUGCGAAUGGCUCAGUAUAUCAGUUAUUAUGAAAUCGAUUUAUAUAGUUUACUACUAAACGGAUAACUGUGGUAACUCUAGAGCUAAUACGUGUAUUGUAAAUGUAUUGUUUACAAUGCAUUUGUAAAGCAUUUAUUUUUUGUGUGAUGCGUUGAUUAAUUUCAAUGCAUUGCCAACCAACAUUGCACCACAAUAUGUGUUUUACAUGUAUUGUGUGUGUAAAAGAUGAGUCUAAAUAACUGAUUGCUGAUCGAUAUAGACAUUUAAUGUCAUCGACAUAUCGAAUCAAUAUCUGUCCUAUCAACUUGUUGGUUGGGUAGUGGCCAACCAAGGUUUUGACGGGUAACGGGGAAUCAGGGUUUGAUUCCGGAGAGGGAGCCUGAGAAAUGGCUACCACAUCCAAGGAAGGCAGCAGGCGCGCAAAUUAUCCAAUCCAGAUAAUGGGAGAUAGCGACAAGACGUACUAAGAUUAGCUUGAAUUUCAAGUUAAUAUUUAGAAUGAACGAAAUUUAAAUACCUAAAUGAGGAGCUACUGGAGGGCAAGUCUGGUGCCAGCAGCCGCGGUAAUACCGGCUCCAGUGGUGUAUCGCAUUGUUGUUGCGUUUAAAACGCUCGUAGUUGGAUUGCAGCUUGUUACACCAGCGGUGUUACAUAUUCGUAAAGAUUACAUGUGUUGUAUGUAAGCUUUUAAAAGUGAAACAUAUAUAAACAGUAAAAACUGAUGAAUAUGUAAUGCUGUGCGUUGUUUUAUGUAAAUGUAAAGCAGAUGUGUACAUAGCUUAAUAUGUUGCAGUGUUGUAAAUUUAUGUCAUCUUUACUGAUGGUAUAAAAAACAGUUUGAAUGAUGUUGUUGCAUCAUUUGAAUUGUACUGCAAUGUUAUAGCCUUGAAUAAAAUAGAGUGCUCAAAGCAAUGCUUAGCGCUUGAAUAUUGUAGCAGGGAACGAAUGUAUUUUUAACCACCAUUAGGUUAGCAGUAAUGUUGGUCUGUGAGUCUAAUAGGUGUCGGUUAAUAGGGAUAUUUGGGGGCAUUGAUAUUUGGCAGCGAGAGGUGAAAUUCUUAGACCGGUCAAAGAUCGACAAUUGCGAAAGCAUUUGCCAAGAAUGUUUUCAUUAAUCAAGAGCGAAAGUCGGAGGAGCGAAGACGAUCAGAUACCGUCGUAGUUCCGACUGUAAAUUAUGCCAACCCGGAUUUGAUUUACUAAAUGUUACAAACUACAUUAGAAAUCAGAUCCACCGGGAAACCUAAAGUUUUUGGGUUCCGGGGGGAGUAUGGUCGCAAGUCUGAAACUUAAAGGAAUUGACGGAAGGGCACCACCAGGAGUGGAGCCUGCGGCUUAAUUUGACUCAACACGGGAAAGCUUACCAGGUCCGGACAUUGACAGGAUUGACAGAUUGAAAGAUCUUUCAUGAUACGGUGGAUGGUGGUGCAUGGCCGCCUCUUAGUUCGUGCAGUGAUCUGUCAGGUCAAUUCCGGUAACGAGCGAGAUCAGCUUUACUAUUUUGGUCGUUUUGAUAACAUAUUCAGAAAUUUAUGCGUAUGUGCAUGCAUGCAUUUCAUGUAUGUAAUAUAUGUCAAUGUAUAUAGUUAUGUGCAAACAUAGCUAUUUAUGUUGAUUAUGUUAGAUGUGUGUAUGUGUGUGUAUGUGUAUUGGUGUAAAUCUGAUUGUAUGUGUCAAUUUACCUUCAUAGUAAGACAACCGGUGUGCUAGCCGGUGGAAGUAUGGCAAUAGCAGGUCUGUAAUGCCCUUAGAUGUUCUGGGCUGCACGCGGGCUACAUUGAAAGUGCCAGCGAGUUAAUCUUUAUCGAAAGGUAAUGGGUAACCUUGUGAAUUACUUUCGUAAUGGGGAUUGAACCUUGAAAUUAUUGUUCAUGAACCUGGAAUUCCUCGUAAGUACGAGUCAUUAGCUCGGGCUGAAUAUGUCUCUGCCCUUUGUACACACCGCCCGUCACCACUUCCGAUUGAAUGAGUCAGUAAGAGCUAUGGAUUAAAAAAUACCUUAAUAGU